CAACAAGGAUUCCCCUAGUAACGGCGAGUGAAGCGGGAACAGCUCAAAUUUGGAAUCUGGCGGAUUGCAUCCGUCCGAAUUGUAAUUUCAAGAGGCAUCUUCGGGUUCGGCUCAGGUAAAAGUCCGUUGGAAUACGGCAUCAUAGAGGGUGAGAAUCCCGUCCAUGACCUGGGUCCCGUUCCUAUGUGAAGUGUCUUCAAAGAGUCGAGUUGUUUGGGAAUGCAGCUCUAAAUGGGUGGUAAAUUCCAUCUAAAGCUAAAUAUUGGUGGGAGACCGAUAGCGAACAAGUAGUGUGAACGAAAGAUGAAAAGAACUUUGAAAAGAGAGUUAAACAGUACGUGAAAUUGUUGAAAGGGAAGCGCUUGGGACCAGAGCGCUGCUUUUCAGGAUCAGCAGAGCUUCAAGUUCUGUGCACUCUUGGAUUGCAGGGCCAGCAUCGGUUUGAACGGUUGUAUAAAGGCUUGAGGAAGGUGGCUUUAUCUUCGGAUGGAGUGUUAUAGACUCUUGUGCAAUGCAACCAGUUUGGACCGAGGACUGCAGCUUUAUUGCUUAAGGAUGCUGGCGUAAU
RNAcentral lists this ribosomal RNA (568 nucleotides) under Neolecta vitellina. RNAcentral describes it as "eukaryotic LSU rRNA". It matches the Rfam family "Eukaryotic large subunit ribosomal RNA", at positions 66 to 635 of the family's 3401-position model. Lineage: Eukaryota; Fungi; Ascomycota; Neolectomycetes; Neolectales; Neolectaceae. The record is from RNAcentral.